GGUUAAGUUAGAAAGGGCGCACGGUGGAUGCCUUGACACUAGGAGUCGAUGAAGGACGGGACUAACGCCGAUAUGCUUCGGGGAGCUGUAAGUAAGCUUUGAUCCGAAGAUUUCCGAAUGGGGAAACCCACCAUACGUAAUGGUAUGGUAUCCUUAUCUGAAUACAUAGGGUAAGGAAGACAGACCCAGGGAACUGAAACAUCUAAGUACCUGGAGGAAGAGAAAGCAAAUGCGAUUUCCUGAGUAGCGGCGAGCGAAACGGAACAUAGCCCAAACCAAGAGGCUUGCCUCUUGGGGUUGUAGGACAUUCUAUACGGAGUUACAAAGGAACGAGGUAGACGAAGCGACCUGGAAAGGUCCGUCGUAGAGGGUAACAACCCCGUAGUCGAAACUUCGUUCUCUCUUGAAUGUAUCCUGAGUACGGCGGAACACGUGAAAUUCCGUCGGAAUCUGGGAGGACCAUCUCCCAAGGCUAAAUACUCCCUAGUGAUCGAUAGUGAACCAGUACCGUGAGGGAAAGGUGAAAAGCACCCCGGAAGGGGAGUGAAAGAGAUCCUGAAACCGUGUGCCUACAAAUAGUCAGAGCCCGUUAAUGGGUGAUGGCGUGCCUUUUGUAGAAUGAACCGGCGAGUUACGAUCCCGUGCGAGGUUAAGCUGAAGAGGCGGAGCCGCAGCGAAAGCGAGUCUGAAUAGGGCGUUUAGUACGUGGUCGUAGACCCGAAACCAGGUGAUCUACCCAUGUCCAGGGUGAAGUUCAGGUAACGCUGAAUGGAGGCCCGAACCCACGCACGUUGAAAAGUGCGGGGAUGAGGUGUGGGUAGCGGAGAAAUUCCAAUCGAACCUGGAGAUAGCUGGUUCUCCCCGAAAUAGCUUUAGGGCUAGCCUUAAGUGUAAGAGUCUUGGAGGUAGAGCACUGAUUGGACUAGGGGUCCUCAUCGGAUUACCGAAUUCAGUCAAACUCCGAAUGCCAAUGACUUAUCCUUAGGAGUCAGACUGCGAGUGAUAAGAUCCGUAGUCAAAAGGGAAACAGCCCAGACCGCCAGCUAAGGUCCCAAAGUGUGUAUUAAGUGGAAAAGGAUGUGGAGUUGCUUAGACAACUAGGAUGUUGGCUUAGAAGCAGCCACCAUUUAAAGAGUGCGUAAUAGCUCACUAGUCGAGUGACUCUGCGCCGAAAAUGUACCGGGGCUAAAUACACCACCGAAGCUGCGGAUUGAUACCAAUGGUAUCAGUGGUAGGGGAGCGUUCUAAGGACAGUGAAGUCAGACCGGAAGGACUGGUGGAGUGCUUAGAAGUGAGAAUGCCGGUAUGAGUAGCGAAAGACGGGUGAGAAUCCCGUCCACCGAAUGCCUAAGGUUUCCUGAGGAAGGCUCGUCCGCUCAGGGUUAGUCAGGACCUAAGCCGAGGCCGACAGGCGUAGGCGAUGGACAACAGGUUGAUAUUCCUGUACCACCUCUUUAUCGUUUGAGCAAUGGAGGGACGCAGAAGGAUAGAAGAAGCGUGCGAUUGGUUGUGCACGUCCAAGCAGUUAGGCUGAUAAGUAGGCAAAUCCGCUUAUCGUGAAGGCUGAGCUGUGAUGGGGAAGCUCCUUAUGGAGCGAAGUCUUUGAUUCCCCGCUGCCAAGAAAAGCUUCUAGCGAGAUAAAAGGUGCCUGUACCGCAAACCGACACAGGUAGGCGAGGAGAGAAUCCUAAGGUGUGCGAGAGAACUCUGGUUAAGGAACUCGGCAAAAUGACCCCGUAACUUCGGGAGAAGGGGUGCUUUCUUAACGGAAAGCCGCAGUGAAUAGGCCCAAGCGACUGUUUAGCAAAAACACAGCUCUCUGCGAAGCCGUAAGGCGAAGUAUAGGGGGUGACACCUGCCCGGUGCUGGAAGGUUAAGGAGAGGGGUUAGCGUAAGCGAAGCUCUGAACUGAAGCCCCAGUAAACGGCGGCCGUAACUAUAACGGUCCUAAGGUAGCGAAAUUCCUUGUCGGGUAAGUUCCGACCCGCACGAAAGGUGUAACGAUUUGGGCACUGUCUCAACCAGAGACUCGGUGAAAUUAUAGUACCUGUGAAGAUGCAGGUUACCCGCGACAGGACGGAAAGACCCCGUGGAGCUUUACUGUAGCCUGAUAUUGAAUUUUGGUACAGUUUGUACAGGAUAGGCGGGAGCCUUUGAAACCGGAGCGCUAGCUUCGGUGGAGGCGCUGGUGGGAUACCGCCCUGACUGUAUUGAAAUUCUAACCUACGGGUCUUAUCGACCCGGGAGACAGUGUCAGGUGGGCAGUUUGACUGGGGCGGUCGCCUCCUAAAGUGUAACGGAGGCGCCCAAAGGUUCCCUCAGAAUGGUUGGAAAUCAUUCGUAGAGUGCAAAGGCAUAAGGGAGCUUGACUGCGAGACCUACAAGUCGAGCAGGGACGAAAGUCGGGCUUAGUGAUCCGGUGGUUCCGCAUGGAAGGGCCAUCGCUCAACGGAUAAAAGCUACCCCGGGGAUAACAGGCUUAUCUCCCCCAAGAGUCCACAUCGACGGGGAGGUUUGGCACCUCGAUGUCGGCUCAUCGCAUCCUGGGGCUGUAGUCGGUCCCAAGGGUUGGGCUGUUCGCCCAUUAAAGCGGUACGCGAGCUGGGUUCAGAACGUCGUGAGACAGUUCGGUCCCUAUCCGUCGUGGGCGUAGGAAAUUUGAGAGGAGCUGUCCUUAGUACGAGAGGACCGGGAUGGACGCACCGCUGGUGUACCAGUUGUUCUGCCAAGGGCAUAGCUGGGUAGCUAUGUGCGGAAGGGAUAAGUGCUGAAAGCAUCUAAGCAUGAAGCCCCCCUCAAGAUGAGAUUUCCCAUAGCGUAAGCUAGUAAGAUCCCUGAAAGAUGAUCAGGUUGAUAGGUUCGAGGUGGAAGCAUGGUGACAUGUGGAGCUGACGAAUACUAAUAGAUCGAGGACUUAACCAU
This 2922-nucleotide ribosomal RNA is filed under the name Bacillus anthracis (anthrax bacterium). RNAcentral describes it as "23S ribosomal RNA". It matches the Rfam family "Bacterial large subunit ribosomal RNA". The record is from RNAcentral. Lineage: Bacteria; Bacillati; Bacillota; Bacilli; Caryophanales; Bacillaceae.